Long non-coding RNA from Drosophila rhopaloa, 2259 nucleotides. RefSeq lists it as uncharacterized. The record is from RefSeq and is a predicted model, not a curated record. The transcript is spliced from 2 exons. Lineage: Eukaryota; Metazoa; Arthropoda; Insecta; Diptera; Drosophilidae.
GCGCGGCGGAACGUUGAGCGUUCUGCUCACAGAAAAAGCGGCCAUCGCCCGCCGCUGCUUCUGCUGGCGUCGCUGCAGCAGAGGCGGGCAGAGCAGCCAUUAUCCUGCAGGAUGCUGCGACCUGAUCCUGAUCCCAGGGCCAUGCCAUGCAAUUAAUAUGGCUGCGAAUCGAACGAAAAAAGAACUGGUCAACAAAAAUCUGGAAACAUUCCAAAAACUCGGUGCAAAAGUGUUGAAAAUCAAGGAAAAUUUAAUCCUGGACAUAAAUUCAAUGUACAACUUUGAAAACAUUUUGUAAAAACGGAAUUAAGGCUGCAAUCUUCUGCAUAUUCUAAACAGGACACACGAACUACAGCGGAGCAUCUGCCACAUCUACCGCAUCUGCCCCAUCUGCCCCUCCUCCAGCCAUUACUCAGCAGUCUUAGCAGGGCUUAGUGCUGAAUCAUCGCCACCGUCGUUACCGAUUCACCGAUUUGGAGCAGGGACACCAAGAAGGCUUACGGUGGCGCCCAACUUCCACUGGCGACAGCGAUCCAGGUCGGGAGCUUAGCGGGGCGACUCGCUGAUUGAUUUCCGUGCAAACAGAAGACCCAGAAGCUAGAUCUAUCAUUCAUUAACUGUGCUUCUUGUCUAUCCAAUUUCCAGACCUCGCACCUAUUUUAUCGACGCGAAGAAAGUGCCGUAAUCCGCGGGCAAUCAAUUAGAUACCAGCGUCCUAAGCACUCCCAAAGACAUCGCAGCCGUAUCUUAUCUUAUCGCCGCUUCUUCCGAUAAGGUCGGGCACUACUUUCCGUCCUCUGUUUUUUCGGACUGCUUCCUAAUCUCGGGCCCCUCGGUGAGGUCUUGGCUUCAGUUGGUUUCCAGAGGCGAGGGCGAAGACAACGCGGAGCUGGCCACUCCGGCGCAAGGGCCUUCGUGACUUUCGGGACAGGAACACGGACUGAAACACGGACACGGACACGGAGACCUCGCGAAUGCCUCCAUUUAAUUGGCAGGCCAGGCGACGGCGAGCUUUGUAAUCACAUUUAUGGGUCAUUCCAUAAUUUCCAAAAGGAAUAAAGGAAACGGUUGUAUGGUUGCCAGCCAUCGUCGCAUCACGUGUGGCACGAUAAAUAUAAUUUACCCGAGGCGCAUGUAAUUGCCGCGCUGCCUAAAUUACCCCGCCUUGAACACACACAUUGUAUAUGUUUAUUAACAUUUUCACUUUUUGCAGCCGUGAUUGCUCACCUCCGUUCAUUUCACCCAUGCGACGCGACUGUUCUCCUUCAGUUUGCUCCACGUCUACCCUGUAGAUCCGAAUUUGUUUUACAUUAGCUUUAAGGACAAAUUCGGUUCUAGAGAGGUUUGUGUGGUCCAAUAUCCAUCGAUAAAUCAAAAGAAGCCGGAAUCAAGUGAAAAAGUGAAUUUGAACAUUAAUUUAAUAAGUGAAUAAAUUGUUCAAAACAAAGUGAAAACGAUUAAAUUAAGUUACUCAGUAAAUUACCAUUGAAUCGCCAUUAUAAAAUAAAGACUAGGAACAUUAAGCAUCUGAAAUUAAAAAUUUAAUAAUUAACUUUAAUAAUAAUUAAAUAAUUCUUCCUAUUUCAUAAUGACUCACCCAAAACACUAAUUACUGUUGCCAACUAAUAGAUUUUCAUUGCUUACUAUAAAAUCCAUGAUAAUGAAUUGCUGUCUUGACACAAUUUUUUGGCUUACUUUUAUAGAUAAGAGUGCCGGGUAUUAAGGUUUCACUUUUCAUUGCCAAUGAUUCAGAGACUAGGGAAUUUUAAAAAUUCAUUGUUCAUGUUGACAGCUCAGUUAGAUUAUAAAACAACAAAUGUUGAUUUAAUAUAGUGAUGAGUUAUAAAAAUAACUAUCAACAAAAGGAAAUAUUUGUAUUUAGAACGUAAAAAUCCUUAAUAUAUUUAUUCAAGAAAAAAAUGUUUUAAGAUAAGAACACUGUUGUAAAACUAAAUAGAAAUUUUAAAACUGUAAAUAAUUAUUUUGAAUACGUAUGUACAUGUCUUAUAAAUUAUGAAUCAUUGAAAUCAACACAAUUUUACAGUUUAAAAAAAGAUACGAUAUUAGAGAUAAAGUUACAGAUAAAAAUUUUUUUUAUUAUUUGAAGGUGGUUGAAAACGUGUCAAUGGAAUCAAAGCGGAAAAUAAAAUACAUGUUAAAUACUUACAAUAUGUAAUAUAUAUGAAAUAUUAUUUAACUUAAAAUUUUGUAAAACUAUGUUUAAACAUUAAUAAAGACUUUAUGUUGUGCUAAAUAAAA